GAUGAACGCUGGCGGCGUGCCUAAUACAUGCAAGUCGAGCGAACAGACGAGGAGCUUGCUCCUCUGACGUUAGCGGCGGACGGGUGAGUAACACGUGGAUAACCUACCUAUAAGACUGAGAUAACUUCGGGAAACCGGAGCUAAUACCGGAUAAUAUAUUGAACCGCAUGGUUCAAUAGUGAAAGACGGUUUUGCUGUCACUUAUAGAUGGAUCCGCGCCGCAUUAGCUAGUUGGUAAGGUAACGGCUUACCAAGGCAACGAUGCGUAGCCGACCUGAGAGGGUGAUCGGCCACACUGGAACUGAGACACGGUCCAGACUCCUACGGGAGGCAGCAGUAGGGAAUCUUCCGCAAUGGGCGAAAGCCUGACGGAGCAACGCCGCGUAAGUGAUGAAGGUCUUCGGAUCGUAAAACUCUGUUAUUAGGGAAGAACAAAUGUGUAAGUAACUAUGCACGUCUUGACGGUACCUAAUCAGAAAGCCACGGCUAACUACGUG
Molecule: ribosomal RNA, 497 nt
Filed under: uncultured bacterium
Lineage: Bacteria
Description: partial 16S ribosomal RNA
Rfam family: Bacterial small subunit ribosomal RNA
Source: RNAcentral